UCUAGUGGCUCAGAGGAUAAAGCAUCUGCCUGCAAUGCGGGAGACCUGGGUUCGAUUCCUGGGUCUGGAA
RNAcentral lists this transfer RNA (70 nucleotides) under Bos taurus (domestic cattle). It matches the Rfam family "tRNA". Rfam says of the family: Transfer RNA (tRNA) molecules are approximately 80 nucleotides in length. Their secondary structure includes four short double-helical elements and three loops (D, anti-codon, and T loops). The record is from Rfam by way of RNAcentral. Lineage: Eukaryota; Metazoa; Chordata; Mammalia; Artiodactyla; Bovidae. RNAcentral also lists the same sequence under 2 other names.